AUUCCAGCUCCAAUAGCGUAUAUUAAAGUUGUUGCGGUAAAAAAGCUCGUAGUUGGAUUUCUGUUGAGGGCGACCGGUCCAUACAACGUAUGCGUAUCUGGCUCGGCCUCGGCAUCCUCUCGAUAGACGUUUCUGCGCUUGAUUGCGUGGAGCGGAUCUCGGGACUUUUACUUUGAGGAAAUUAGAGUGUUCACGGCAGGCUAUCGCCAGAAUACAUUAGCAUGGAAUAAUACUAUAGGAUCUUGAUUCUAUUUUGUUGGUUUCUAGAAUUGAGAUAAUGAUUAAUAGGGACAAUUGGGGGCAUUCGUAUCAACACGUCAGAGGUGGAAUUCUUGGAUUGUGUUGCGACGAACUACUGUGAAAGCAUUUGCCAAGGAUGUUUUCAUUA
RNAcentral lists this ribosomal RNA (388 nucleotides) under Syndiniales sp. RNAcentral's name for it is "partial small subunit ribosomal RNA". It matches the Rfam family "Eukaryotic small subunit ribosomal RNA", at positions 582 to 975 of the family's 1831-position model. The record is from RNAcentral. Lineage: Eukaryota; Dinophyceae; Syndiniales.